RNAcentral lists this transfer RNA (71 nucleotides) under Loxodonta africana (African savanna elephant). It matches the Rfam family "tRNA". From Rfam's summary of the family: Transfer RNA (tRNA) molecules are approximately 80 nucleotides in length. Their secondary structure includes four short double-helical elements and three loops (D, anti-codon, and T loops). Further hydrogen bonds mediate the characteristic L-shaped molecular structure. tRNAs have two regions of fundamental functional importance: the anti-codon, which is responsible for specific mRNA codon recognition, and the 3' end, to which the tRNAs corresponding amino acid is attached (by aminoacyl-tRNA synthetases). tRNAs cope with the degeneracy of the genetic code in two manners: having more than one tRNA (with a specific anti-codon) for a particular amino acid; and 'wobble' base-pairing, i.e. permitting non-standard base-pairing at the 3rd anti-codon position. The record is from Rfam by way of RNAcentral. Lineage: Eukaryota; Metazoa; Chordata; Mammalia; Proboscidea; Elephantidae.
GCAGUGGUGGUUCAGUGGUGGAAUUCCUGCCUUCCAUGUGGGAGACCUGGGUUCAAACCCCAGGCAAUGCA